UACGGGGGGGGCAAGCGUUGUUCGGAAUUACUGGGCGUAAAGGGCCAGUAGGCGGCCAACUAAGUCAGACGUGAAAUCCCUCGGCUUAACCGGGGAACUGCGUCUGAUACUGGAUGGCUUGAGUUUGGGAGAGGGAUGCGGAAUUCCAGGUGUAGCGGUGAAAUGCGUAGAUAUCUGGAGGAACACCGGUGGCGAAGGCGGCAUCCUGGACCAACACUGACGCUGAGGAGCGAAAGCCAGGGGAGCAAACGGG
Molecule: ribosomal RNA, 253 nt
Filed under: uncultured bacterium
Lineage: Bacteria
Description: partial 16S ribosomal RNA
Rfam family: Bacterial small subunit ribosomal RNA
Source: RNAcentral